Non-coding RNA from Pelobates cultripes (western spadefoot toad), 315 nucleotides. The record is from the annotation of a GenBank genome assembly. Lineage: Eukaryota; Metazoa; Chordata; Amphibia; Anura; Pelobatidae.
GUAGAGUCUAGUGCCCCACCUUCUUGAAAAUUCACCAGCUGUCAUUAGAUAUAUUAAUAACAGGAAGUUAAAGCAUCCAAAUUAACAGUAAAUAAUGUAGACAAAAAAUAGGCUCGUAGGCUGCAUCUGUUCAAGUGUUUAAAAAAUGGACUUGUGAAAGUCAACCUAUGUAUUGUAUACAAAAGUAAAAUAUGAAAUGUACUAAAGAGUGAAUUGUUAGGAACUGAAAGUAAAUUUAAAAUUUUAAGUUGAAAUAGAUAGACUGACUGUGAUCAUUUUCACUAUUUUAACUUACUUGAAAUUGAAUGUUAAACA